GUUCUGGAUCCAAAGAGAUAAAUUUAAUAUCUCGUGUGACCACCGUUAGCGUUAAUUACCACCAGGCACCUUCUGUAUUCAAAAGAGACCG
Molecule: long non-coding RNA, 91 nt
Organism: Octopus sinensis (East Asian common octopus)
Lineage: Eukaryota; Metazoa; Mollusca; Cephalopoda; Octopoda; Octopodidae
Exons: 3
Source: RefSeq, a predicted model, not a curated record